CCUGCGCAGGCUACCAUGCAGUCGACGGAUGAAAGGAGCUUGCUCCUGGAUUCAGCGGCGGACGGGUGAGUAAUGCCUAGGAAUCUGCCUGGUAGUGGGGGACAACGUUUCGAAAGGAACGCUAAUACCGCAUACGUCCUACGGGAGAAAGCAGGGGACCUUCGGGCCUUGCGCUAUCAGAUGAGCCUAGGUCGGAUUAGCUAGUUGGUGAGGUAAUGGCUCACCAAGGCGACGAUCCGUAACUGGUCUGAGAGGAUGAUCAGUCACACUGGAACUGAGACACGGUCCAGACUCCUACGGGAGGCAGCAGUGGGGAAUAUUGGACAAUGGGCGAAAGCCUGAUCCAGCCAUGCCGCGUGUGUGAAGAAGGUCUUCGGAUUGUAAAGCACUUUAAUUGGGAGGAAAGGUUGUANAUUAUACUCUGCAAUUUUGACGUUCCGACAGAAUAACACCGGCUACUCUGUGCCACAGCCGCGGUAUCAGAGGUGCAACGUUAUCGGAUUACUGGGCGUAAACGCCCUAGGGGGUUGUAAUUGGAUGGAAUCCCGGCUCACUGGGACGCAUC
Molecule: ribosomal RNA, 565 nt
Filed under: Pseudomonas sp. RP13
Lineage: Bacteria; Pseudomonadati; Pseudomonadota; Gammaproteobacteria; Pseudomonadales; Pseudomonadaceae
Description: bacterial SSU rRNA
Rfam family: Bacterial small subunit ribosomal RNA
Source: RNAcentral